AAAAGAUGGAAUAGAAGGGCAGGGGCUGGGCUGCUGGCUUUGUUGCGUCAUCGGGGAUGGCUUGGCUACCUCAAACGGCCUAGCUGCCAAAUUACGUCUCCGUUUGGUACUUGCCAUAAUUUAGCAGCGAACGCUGUGUUAGUUGAAGGGGGCAAAAAGGGAAUAAGGCGGGGCGUCGCGUCGAUGUUGCGGGGUGUUGACGUUGUGAACAGCAUCUGCACGCCGGCUGCGAGAGACGCGUGAGCCAGAGCCGGAUGGUUAUGGCGGCUUAACUGACGGCUGGUUUAUGCGCUCGCUGUUUUGCAAUUGGUUUCUGGCAGUCAACUUGGAAUAUGUGAAUAUAUGGGUCGAUCACAACUCACAACGGAACGGCGAAUAAUAAUAAAAGCUUCCGAUUUAUGUUUGUCCUGUUAGUGUUAGAGCUUCUUGGUGUUGGAGUUGGAGGUUGCCUUUUAUUGGGCCUCUCCACAGUUCAACAACUCUUUUGUACUUCGUUUUGGAUUCAUUUUCUACAUCGCCGUCUCAGAUGGGCCUCCAAUUCUCACUUAUCCAUUUGCCUUUAUACAAUCACAUUUCUAUCCUUUUAAAUUCA
Jatropha curcas is the source of this 592-nucleotide non-coding RNA. The record is from RefSeq and is a predicted model, not a curated record. NCBI's taxonomy places the organism in Eukaryota, Viridiplantae, Streptophyta, Magnoliopsida, Malpighiales, Euphorbiaceae.